RNAcentral lists this non-coding RNA (710 nucleotides) under Pongo abelii (Sumatran orangutan). Lineage: Eukaryota; Metazoa; Chordata; Mammalia; Primates; Hominidae. The record is from RNAcentral.
GCCUCUCUGACACCCAGUGGCGACCAAGUCCUAGCAGUACUAUCUCUAAAGGUCCUCCCUAUCUGUCGUCUGCCCUUCAUUUUCCCAGUUACUCCAGUUACUGUCCUACUCAAGGACCCCCAUCCCAUCUGUGCUACUAUAACCACAUGGUCCAUCCCUUGCUUCAAUCAUAGAAUUCUUUCUUCAGAUCAAAGUAUAUUCAGACACCCGAUACAGUAACAAAAGCAAGCUAUCCUGGAAGGAAGAAGGAAUCAGGAGGCAGAGCACAUGGUUAAAGCAUGAGAUGUGAAACCAGGAAGAACCAGGUCUGAAUCUUAGCUCCACCAGUGGUAGCUCCAAACCUUAGUCCUUUCUGAGCCUGCUUCUUCAACCCUAAGGUGUGAUUACAUUGAGCAGUAACAGCAAAACCUGAAAGAGAAUGGAUACAGGUGUUCAUUUCAGAUGGUACAAGUUUAACAAGGUACAAGAGCAACUUAAGGGAACACUACACUUCCUUAAAAAUUAAGAGUGUGUGCUACACUGCUUUACUAGAGCAAGACCAAAAGCAGCUUCAAUUAUGGUACAACUGUGUGAAGACACAAUGCAAAACCACUCAAGAAUGCUCACUCAAAUGGAUCUUUUACGAUGGAAUUCGGAAACGGGACCCAGAAAGUUGUUUCCUGCAAGUGGCUGGAACAACACAAGCAAUAAGUAUCCUGAAACAGGCCCUG